GAUGAACGCUAGCGGCAGGCCUAAUACAUGCAAGUCGAACGGGAUCUGAGGGUAGCUUGCUACCCGAUUUGAGAGUGGCGCACGGGUGCGUAACGCGUGAGCAACCUACCCAUAUCAGGGGGAUAGCCCGAAGAAAUUCGGAUUAACACCGCAUAAUAAUACGAUAACACAUGUUAAUGUAUUUAAAUAUUUAUAGGAUAUGGAUGGGCUCGCGUGACAUUAGCUAGUUGGUAAGGUAACGGCUUACCAAGGCGACGAUGUCUAGGGGCGCUGAGAGGAGAAUCCCCCACACUGGUACAGAGACACGGACCAGACUCCUACGGGAGGCAGCAGUAAGGAAUAUUGGUCAAUGGGCGCAAGCCUGAACCAGCCAUGCCGCGUGCAGGAUGACUGCCCUAUGGGUUGUAAACUGCUUUUGUUAGGGAAUAAACCUACUUAUGUAUAAGUAGCUGAAUGUACCUAAAGAAUAAGGAUCGGCUAACUCCGUGCCAGCCGCCGCCGUAA
This 504-nucleotide ribosomal RNA is filed under the name uncultured bacterium. RNAcentral's name for it is "partial 16S ribosomal RNA". It matches the Rfam family "Bacterial small subunit ribosomal RNA", at positions 28 to 523 of the family's 1533-position model. The record is from RNAcentral.